Long non-coding RNA from Gavia stellata (red-throated loon), 362 nucleotides. RefSeq lists it as uncharacterized. Lineage: Eukaryota; Metazoa; Chordata; Aves; Gaviiformes; Gaviidae. The record is from RefSeq and is a predicted model, not a curated record. The transcript is spliced from 4 exons.
CGAGGAUGUCACUGUUAUCCCUAAGCUAUGUGUCCCUUUGAAGAACAUGGACGCUCUUUUGAGUGGCACUUCCACGCUUCACAGAAGACCUCUUCGCUAAACUUUACAAGGGAAAAAUACGUCUCUUUGUUAGCCUGCACAUCAAAACAAAGCUCGAGAGAGUGCUACCAGAAAUUAAGAAUGCCGAUGGCUGUACAGAAGGUAAACUUAAUGCAGCAUGAGAACAGACUCUGUUUCUAGCCAUCAAAAAGACCAAGAGCUUGGCAGAUUAAUUAAGCUACCAAAGAAACGUCCCCGCUGGUGGAUAUGGCAGCAUAUGGGGAAGAAGUGUGUAUUCCAGAUGGUGAUGGGGAAGAAAGAGU